Molecule: ribosomal RNA, 120 nt
Filed under: Bison bison bison
Lineage: Eukaryota; Metazoa; Chordata; Mammalia; Artiodactyla; Bovidae
Source: RNAcentral
GUCUCAGGCCGUAUCAGCCUGAAGGCGCCCGAUCUCGUCUGAUCUCGGAAGCCAAGCAGGGUCGGGCCUGGUUAGGAUCUUGGAUGGGAGACCACCUGGGAAUCCCGGGUGCUCGAGGCU